This 385-nucleotide ribosomal RNA is filed under the name uncultured bacterium. RNAcentral's name for it is "bacterial SSU rRNA". It matches the Rfam family "Bacterial small subunit ribosomal RNA", at positions 28 to 402 of the family's 1533-position model. The record is from RNAcentral.
GACGAACGCUGGCGGCGUGCUUAAUACAUGCAAGUCGAGCGAGGUCCAUCUGGUGGCAACACCAGUGAAGGCCGAGCGGCGAACGGGUGAGUAACACGUGAGCAACCUGCCCCGAAGUCUGGAAUAACAUCGGGAAACCGGUGCUAAUACCGGAUCGCCCCACCUCGACCGCAUGAUCGGGUGGAGGAAAGAUUUAUCGCUUCGGGAGGGGCGUCGCGGCCUAUCAGCUAGNGGUGGGGGUAACGGCCUACCAAGGCGUCGACGGGUAGCUGGUCUGAGAGGACGACCAGCCACACUGGGACUGAGACACGGCCCAGACUCCUACGGGAGGCAGCAGUAGGGAAUCUUGCGCAAUGGGCGAAAGCCUGACGCAGCAACGCCGCGU